This is a long non-coding RNA of Microcebus murinus (gray mouse lemur), 3571 nucleotides long. RefSeq lists it as uncharacterized. The record is from RefSeq and is a predicted model, not a curated record. Lineage: Eukaryota; Metazoa; Chordata; Mammalia; Primates; Cheirogaleidae.
GUCACUUUUUGGUGUGGCCUCAUUCACACUCCUCCCCAUUUCAUAAAAGAGAGACUUUUGGCUGUUUUGAAAAAAGCCUCCCUCAAACAUAAAAAUCACAGAAUAAUGGCUUUAAGAGUGUCUAUCUCAACUUUUCAGUGCUAGCAGAUUUAUUGGAAUGCAGAAAAAUAAGAUAAACAAAAUACCAGUGUGCUCAAACUGAGAGCAGGUUCCUUUUUGGAAGACAUGUGUUUUUUUGAUGAGCUAAGUGUUGAUUCUAACCCAAAAAGAGGGAAAACUGUGAGGUUAGAUAAGUGUCUGCUAGAUUCAUUAUUGCCAUGUGGAUUCCGUGAAGUGGACUCAGAGGUCACUGGUGGUAGCUGCAGGAUAAAGUUCACUUGUUGUUUAUUCUCACUCCGAUUGGGCAGUCACUGAAAACAGAAUGUGAACUACCUUCUGGAAGCCCUGUGUUAACUUCACGUCUGCCUAUGAGGGACACUUCCAGCAAGGAAGCGCAUGAUGAAGUCUGCAGGCAUUACCUGAGCAAUGCCAAGUGGCCACCGGCCAGGGUACAAGUUAGACCGGGGAAUGGCUAUCGAAUGCAGUUGUUGGGUUUGGCACAUCUUUCUCAGGCUGCUGAGCUGAGCAGGAAAGAGAGACGCUUGUUUGUGGAUUUAUCUCACCACGUUCUAUAAUGCACUCUUUAAUCUGAAUCUUUCUAUUUGCUCAAGAGAAAACAAGUCUGACUUGCAUAGCAUCAAGGGUUUAGGCUGGGCGGUUUCCCUCUUUAACCCUUGCCCCCGUAGCGUCCUCUGCCUACGAUUUCCUAACGCUGACUUUUUCCAGCAACCUGGACAGCAACCUCACAGGUGAUUUGAGACGCCUUUUGGUUGUACUUAAAAAUUUCCAACAGAUUUGCUGCACACCCCAUGAUAAAUAUAAUAGUUUCCUGUGGAAUCGUGAUGACUUCUCACACUACAUUUGCAAGCGUGUGUAUGCAUCUGGAUGAGAAACAGCCUGGGCUCUGUUCAGGAACUCCGCUGUGACCACAAAACUGUUUCUGUUGAAUUUUCUUCGGUGUGGUCAUCCCGCCUUCGGGUCAGCGAAUCAGCGGCGUCUGGCACGGAUGUUUUAACCUUAAAGCUUAAUGUAUAACUAGUAUUUUUUUUUUUUCUUUUUUCCUUCUGUGUCAGCAGUUGGCAACACGACACUGAAAAUAAGGGUUCUGUGAAUCGAAAGAAGAUAACCUUUGGAAGAAGUGUAUAUUUCAGUUCUCCAGCAAAGUACCGGUGAAGCAUGCCGACUCUCACCAAAUGACCCUGUCUUGCCAAUUCCUCUAUCUUGGCUCUGAUUAUCUGCAACUUAAAACCAAGCCCAGGAUGGCUGCACAGCAUUUUACUGCUCUCUCUCUCUCUCUGUCUUCCUUUUUGGUAAGCCAAAUAAAUCUACCCCUAAUCACGUCACUGAGGCCACAAGGAAAUGUAAUCCUGCCAAGUGUGGGAACUAACAAAAACUGCCAACGUCUUAAGGUUACAGAGAGAGAUCAAGAACCACUUUCUGGGUUUUGCGUGUCUGCUAUGCGUGUGCGUGGGUGCCGUGUGUAUGCACCAUGUGAGUGCCUGGGUACGGUGUGUGCAUACUGUGUGUACACAAGCACCGUGCCUUUGUGUGUAUGGGCAUGUGUUUACACAGUGUAUGCAUGCGUGCUGUGUGUAUGUACCAUUUGCAUGUGCACUGUGUGUGUAUGAGCAGACUCGCACAUGUGUACUGUGUGUGCAGCAAACCAGAUGCCCCAGAUCCAUGGGAUUCAGUGACAGCGGCUGGGAGAGGCUGAUAUGAGGAGGGUCUGCUUGGAAACAGGUAAAUCGCUUAAGUGCAUGGUGAUUUUCAUCUGGUUUGCUGCCCUUUCCCGCCUUAAGCAACGCACACAGAGACGGAAGAAAUGUUAAAGAUAGGCAGUGAGUGUUCCGCUUUCCCUGCCUGUCUGCAGCUCAAGUGAGUUCUUUUCGAGUGUUUUUUUUUUUUUUUUCUUAAGCUUCAGAAAAAAGGGGAGAGGCUUGGGAUUGAGAAGACAGAGCCAGGAUUCAACAUCAUCCUGUUCCUUUUAGCCAUGUGAGUGUGUUUCCUGUAUACCCAAAAGACAGAGAGGAGAUGAAAAAGAAAAAAAAAAACAAAAAAAAAAAACAAACAACAAACCAAGGAGUCAGAUUGGAAAGACAGUAGAUGAGUUUGUAUGUAUAAGAUGCAACUGCUACCCCCCCACAGGACUGGCGGCAUGUCCCAGUUUCCUCUCUCUCACCUCACUGUAAGUGCUGACCCACUUCUGGCUAUUUUUAUUUGUUUCUUUGAAAAUGCUCACUGUGCGAUUAGAGUUGACUCUUGUCGACUUUGUUCUCAUUCCUCCCUGCCAUCUGAGUCCCAAAGUGCAGCCCUUCCCACCUCACUCCCAACAAUUACGGGUGAGUGCAGAGCCAAAGGAAGGCAGGGUUUUAUUGGUGAUGUGACAAACGGGUGACCCCUUUCCUCACAAUCAGAGACACAAGGACAAGCAGCUUGUACCUGCGCGUGGAGUUUUGUACCGAGUUGCCCUUUGUCCACUGGAGACGGCCCCUUUCCGAGUCCCAGUGCUGGGGGGGGGGGCAUGCUGACGCCAGCCUCCACCCCCAGGUUUGCGGCUGGACCAGCCCAGGGCAUCCAGCGUGUGUAGUGGCUUAUCUAGGGUUGCAGCCUGAGUCAACAGUGGAACCAGGAAGUGAACUCGGGGCCCCGCAUUGUAUGGAAAGUUGGGUGUAUAUUUGCUUUUCUCUUAAAGCAAACUUUGAUUUACUCUUUAAUAAGUUACUAUGGAGGAUAUAGAUCUGGAGAAAUUUGACUUGGCAUCCAAAUCUAAGUCACAUAUUGAUAAGGAAGGAGAGGAACAGUGAGUCUUUUACGUUUUUCCAGCUUUAUCAUUAACCUCAAGUUUGGAAAUAUAUUUGCUUUUAGAAGUGUCAGUUUCCCAGUUUAAGAGGGCGAUAAUUCCCUAUUGAUGAGGUACAUUGGCACUGUUGGAAGCCCUGGAGGGGCCUGUGUGACAAAAUAAGGAGUGGCCUCAACUUCAGACAGAGCAGGUUUGGAUCUGGGCUCUGUCAUUUACGGUGUCACCUGUAGUAUCCCUUCCCUUCUUUGCCCUCAAUUUCCUCAUCUGUGAAAUGAGGGUGAGAAGAAUCUCCCUUAAGAAGGAUUCAGCUAGGAGACAGAUGGGAAGGGCUGGCUGGGAGCGUGGAACUGGGAGUCUACACUCGCCAUAGCAAACUAUCAGGGUUAUGUAUGACCUAAGUCAUUUUUAUUAUGUGCAGUAAAAGUUGUUUUCUCUUUCCAGAAGUUUCUCCAGGACCUCCCCUGCAUGAGGUACACAAUGUGGUUGCAUGCUCUGUGCUUGUCCUACUAGGGUCCCCAUGAGCGGCUGGAGCUGCCCUUGCCUCCCUGCUGAGAGGGGCACGGGUCCUGGGGGGUGGCCGGGAGUGACGCUUCCUGUCCUUUCUGCUGACAGCACUUCCUCCUUAAAUGCAGAGGUCUGCAAAAAGGGGGAAAAAAAGCACAAAAAGAAAAA